Long non-coding RNA from Oryctolagus cuniculus (rabbit), 1636 nucleotides. The record is from Ensembl. NCBI's taxonomy places the organism in Eukaryota, Metazoa, Chordata, Mammalia, Lagomorpha, Leporidae.
AUGGCUGGCACAGGACCCCCGGGGCACGGCAGGUGCCCGUUGCCCGCUCCGCCAGCGGCUGCAUUCCCCAAAAGCACACCAUCCCAUCGUGUCUGCUGCCUCCUGACCCCCGGCCCUUAUCUCAUCCCACAUCACCUUCCUGCGUUUCCUGGCCUCUCCCUGCCCCGGGCCAUCCCUGGGUCUCCGGAGCGAGCCGUGGCCACGCCCGAGCUGGCGCGGGUUACCAGCAGCCGCGGGGCUGGGACCGCUCGCCGCCGGGCCCGGGCUUCGCGCUCGUCCUGGCCGCUGGGGCCUCGGAGAGCGGCGGCAGGAGCGAGGCAUCACCCGAGCGCUGACAGGCGCCUCUCCGCCUUCCCCGCCCGGCGCAUUCGCCUUGCCACGUGCAGAACCCGGCAGGCGCGGACCGCCAGCGCCCUCGCGGUUGCCGUGGCUACGCACGAGCGGCCGCAGCUGACCCAGGCGGGGCCUCCCUCCGCCGCCUCCGCCUCGGGCUCCGUCCCCGCUCGGUUAGGGAACCCCAAGCCCCCGGCCCCUACAAGCUGUGCACACCUGCAGCAGACCCGUUUCUGCAAAGCUUCUGAAGAAAAGAAAACAACUUCAAAGCGCUUGGAAAAGUUGUUGAAUAGGAAAGCUGGCUGUCCUGGAAAUCCCGGCUACUGCUCUGUAACACAAGGCACCUCACCUGUCUCUGCUCAGGCACACAGUCCUGCAGCAGGCAAGGCUGGUCAUCAUCAUCACCAUCAUCAUCACCAGCAGCAGCAGCAACACCUGCAUUUGCAUCUGAACCUGAAGAAGUCAGACUGUUGCAGGGAGUAGAGAAGGGAAGUGGGAAAAGCUCUGCAAACGGUGCUGGGACAGGGAAGAAGAGGAGUUCCAGGCACAUGAGCUGGGAGUGCCAAAGAACAGACACACAGCUGGCACUGAAGGGAGGAGCCAGCUAACAUCUAAGACCAACAGCCCUUCAAACGGCCCUUCAGACUGUGCUGUGGAAGCCAGGGCAGCACCUCCAGACCAUUUAUCCCCACUUCCAAGUUCUGCAAGACAAGUUGUUGUGAUCGUCAAGUUCUGGAAGACUAACUGUCAUGGUAUGUAAGCUCUGGAAGGUUAUUUGUUGUGGCAUGUGAGCUCAUGAUCGAAAGUUGUUUGCAAAUCUCAUUAUAUCAUCCACCAGAACAACCACUGGUACUGGAACACUUGGUUGACGCACAUCUGGAGUGCCCUGUUUUUCAAAACACUGAGGACAUUUGUGAAAACUUCUACUGAAGGAUGGGUGUGUAGGUGUGGUGGUACUGUGGGAAGGAAAAGCUUGACACCCAUGUUUGGGGAGGGUGGGGCAGUGUCCUACAUGUGGACCGUGAUACAAACACCAUUAAGUAGCAAAUCUGGUGCAACUCUGUUUUUGUGGCAGGCAUAAUAACAGCACCCCUACAGCAGGAGCAAGCUUCUCGCGUUCUCUCUUAUUGUUUUAUCACUUGUGUCAGAAGGGUCCUGGAUUGUCAUGAGAAAGUUAGGUCUGUACUGGAAUACUGAUGGGAGGAGAACCUGCGAGCUAAGAUUGCAUAGGGUGAAGGUUGGCGGCUUCCUCAAAACCAGCUAGUAAAGCAUGCUUUCAAAAUAAAGUCUAUGGAAACAAACA